Molecule: ribosomal RNA, 139 nt
Filed under: uncultured bacterium
Lineage: Bacteria
Description: partial 16S rRNA
Rfam family: Bacterial small subunit ribosomal RNA
Source: RNAcentral
GGGAAUUUUCCGCAAUGGGCGAAAGCCUGACGGAGCAAUGCCGCGUGGAGGUGGAAGGCCUACGGGUCGUCAACUCCUUUUCUCGGAGAAGAAACAAUGACGGUAUCUGAGGAAUAAGCAUCGGCUAACUCUGUGCCAG